This 48-nucleotide small RNA is filed under the name Plasmodium falciparum 3D7. Its description in RNAcentral is "Pfa-npcR5951". The record is from RNAcentral. Lineage: Eukaryota; Apicomplexa; Aconoidasida; Haemosporida; Plasmodiidae.
AAUUUUGAAUUUUUUUUUUUUUUUUUUUUUAAAUUUAUUUUUAAUUAA